This 245-nucleotide long non-coding RNA is filed under the name Setaria viridis. Its description in RNAcentral is "long non-coding RNA (SVIR_LNC005985)". Lineage: Eukaryota; Viridiplantae; Streptophyta; Magnoliopsida; Poales; Poaceae. The record is from RNAcentral.
GACAAGAAUGGAAGGAUGUGAUCUGGGAUGGAAGAUGUGGGUUCAGUUGCUGUUGUCCAUUCUUGAGGGUAUUUUGGUCCAUUCAUCAAUAAUCUGACAUGCACUUUGGACAGAAGUGAGAUGCAAAGGACGGAAAUGCCAAAUAAGUCAUAAAAGUUAAAUCCGGUGUAAAAAAAUUUCAGUGUCAUAGAGGAAAUUAUAUUAUUUUUUAUAUCAAAUAAGGAAUUUUUUUUCUUAACCCGGGG